UACGAAGGGGGCUAGCGUUGUUCGGAAUUACUGGGCGUAAAGCGCACGCAGGCGGAUUGAUAAGUCAGGGGUGAAAUCCCGGGGCUCAACCUCGGAAUUGCCUUUGAUACUGUCUGUCUUCGAGUUCGGGAGAGGUUGGCGGAAUUCCUAGUGUAGAGGUGAAAUUCGUAGAUAUUAGGAAGAACACCAGUGGCGAAGGCGGCAUCCUGGACCAAUUCUGACGCUGAGUGAGCGAAAGCCAGGGGAGCAAACGGG
Molecule: ribosomal RNA, 255 nt
Filed under: uncultured bacterium
Lineage: Bacteria
Description: partial 16S ribosomal RNA
Rfam family: Bacterial small subunit ribosomal RNA
Source: RNAcentral